Molecule: ribosomal RNA, 550 nt
Filed under: uncultured bacterium
Lineage: Bacteria
Description: bacterial SSU rRNA
Rfam family: Bacterial small subunit ribosomal RNA
Source: RNAcentral
UGGGGAAUAUUGCACAAUGGGGGGAACCCUGAUGCAGCGACGCCGCGUGAGUGAAGAAGGUUUUCGGAUCGUAAAGCUCUGUUGUAAGUCAAGAACGAGUGUGAGAGUGGAAAGUUCACACUGUGACGGUAGCUUACCAGAAAGGGACGGCUAACUACGUGCCAGCAGCCGCGGUAAUACGUAGGUCCCGAGCGUUGUCCGGAUUUAUUGGGCGUAAAGCGAGCGCAGGCGGUUUGAUAAGUCUGAAGUUAAAGGCUGUGGCUCAACCAUAGUUCGCUUUGGAAACUGUCAAACUUGAGUGCAGAAGGGGAGAGUGGAAUUCCAUGUGUAGCGGUGAAAUGCGUAGAUAUAUGGAGGAACACCGGUGGCGAAAGCGGCUCUCUGGUCUGUAACUGACGCUGAGGCUCGAAAGCGUGGGGAGCGAACAGGAUUAGAUACCCUGGUAGUCCACGCCGUAAACGAUGAGUGCUAGGUGUUGGAUCCUUUCCGGGAUUCAGUGCCGCAGCUAACGCAUUAAGCACUCCGCCUGGGGAGUACGACCGCAAGGUUG